GCCCGAGUAGCGCAAUUGGUUAACGCGUUAGACUUCUAUGCUUAUAACAAGUUGGAAUCUGAAGAUUGUGAGUUCGACCCUCAUCUCGGGUG
Sugiyamaella lignohabitans is the source of this 92-nucleotide transfer RNA. It matches the Rfam family "tRNA". Rfam says of the family: Transfer RNA (tRNA) molecules are approximately 80 nucleotides in length. Their secondary structure includes four short double-helical elements and three loops (D, anti-codon, and T loops). NCBI's taxonomy places the organism in Eukaryota, Fungi, Ascomycota, Dipodascomycetes, Dipodascales, Trichomonascaceae. The record is from Rfam.